AUUUCAAUCGCAUUGAAUGUCGACACCGAAAUAUGAAAACAAUAAAUUCAGCACACCGAAAAAAAAGCAUUAAUUUGAAAUCAUGAAACAAACCAUUCACAUGGACUCAAACGUAUCAAUAAGUUCAAAGGGUACCUUUGUGUGUGAAAAUUUGUGAAUUAAAAAUUUGAUCUCCAUUUAAUAUGAUAUUUGAAAAGUUUGUGUACAUAU
This 210-nucleotide long non-coding RNA is filed under the name Drosophila melanogaster (fruit fly). RNAcentral's name for it is "long non-coding RNA:CR45460". The record is from RNAcentral. Lineage: Eukaryota; Metazoa; Arthropoda; Insecta; Diptera; Drosophilidae.